Molecule: ribosomal RNA, 466 nt
Filed under: uncultured bacterium
Lineage: Bacteria
Description: partial 16S ribosomal RNA
Rfam family: Bacterial small subunit ribosomal RNA
Source: RNAcentral
GACGAACGCUGGCGGCGCGCCUAACACAUGCGAGUCGAACGAGCGAGAGAGAGCUUGCUUUCUCGAGCGAGUGGCGAACGGGUGAGUAACGCGUGAGGAACCUGCCUCAAAGAGGGGGACAACAGUUGGAAACGACUGCUAAUACCGCAUAAGCCCACGACCCGGCAUCGGGUAGAGGGAAAAGGAGCAAUCCGCUUUGAGAUGGCCUCGCGUCCGAUUAGCUAGUUGGUGAGGUAACGGCCCACCAAGGCGACGAUCGGUAGCCGGACUGAGAGGUUGAACGGCCACAUUGGGACUGAGACACGGCCCAGACUCCUACGGGAGGCAGCAGUGGGGAAUAUUGCACAAUGGGGGAAACCCUGAUGCAGCGACGCCGCGUGGAGGAAGAAGGUCUUCGGAUUGUAAACUCCUGUUGUUGAGGAAGAUAAUGACGGUACUCAACAAGGAAGUGACGGCUAACUACGUG